Molecule: ribosomal RNA, 403 nt
Filed under: uncultured bacterium
Lineage: Bacteria
Description: partial 16S ribosomal RNA
Rfam family: Bacterial small subunit ribosomal RNA
Source: RNAcentral
GACGAACGCUGGCGGCGUGCCUAAUACAUGCAAGUCGAACGCAGUGGGGACGGGUGAGUAACACGUGGGUAACCUCCCAUCAGAGGGGAUAAAACUUGGAAACAGGUGCUAAACCGAUACUGAUGGAUGGACCCGGGGUGCAUUGGCUAGUUGGUGAGGUAACGGCUAACCAAGGCCACGAUGCAUCGCCGACGUGAGAGGGUGAUCGGCCCCACUGGGACGGAGAUACGGCCCAGACGCCUACGGUACGCAGCAGUAGGGAAUCUUCGGCAAUGGACUAAAGUCUGACCGAGCCACGCCGCGUGAGGGAAGAAGGUUUUCGGAUCGUAAAACUCUGUUGUUAGAGAAGCGGUAUCUAACCAGAAAGCCACGGCUAACUACGUGCCAGCAGCCGCGGUAAUUC